AAAGAUUUAAGUUAAGAAAACUAAUAGCCUUCAAAGUUAUAAUUAUUUAUUAUAAUAAUCUUUA
This 64-nucleotide transfer RNA is filed under the name Argulus americanus. Its description in RNAcentral is "tRNA-Trp". The record is from RNAcentral. Lineage: Eukaryota; Metazoa; Arthropoda; Ichthyostraca; Arguloida; Argulidae.